Molecule: ribosomal RNA, 274 nt
Filed under: uncultured bacterium
Lineage: Bacteria
Description: partial 16S ribosomal RNA
Rfam family: Bacterial small subunit ribosomal RNA
Source: RNAcentral
AUACGGAGGGUGCAAGCGUUACUCGGAAUCACUGGGCGUAAAGCGCGCGCAGGCGGCCCGAUAAGUUGGAUGUGAAAGCCUACGGCUCAACCGUAGAACUGCAUCCAAAACUGUCGGGCUAGAGUCUGGGAGGGGAAGAUGGAAUUAGUUGUGUAGGGGUAAAAUCCGUAGAGAUAACUAGGAAUACCGAAAGCGAAGGCGAUCUCCUGGAACAUAACUGACGCUAAGGCGUGAAAGCGUGGGGAGCAAACAGGAUUAGAAACCCCUGUAGUCC